This 253-nucleotide ribosomal RNA is filed under the name uncultured bacterium. RNAcentral describes it as "partial 16S ribosomal RNA". It matches the Rfam family "Bacterial small subunit ribosomal RNA", at positions 524 to 776 of the family's 1533-position model. The record is from RNAcentral.
UACGGAGGGAGCUAGCGUUGUUCGGAAUUACUGGGCGUAAAGCGCACGUAGGCGGCUUUGUAAGUUAGAGGUGAAAGCCCGGGGCUCAACUCCGGAACUGCCUUUAAGACUGCAUCGCUUGAAUCCAGGAGAGGUGAGUGGAAUUCCGAGUGUAGAGGUGAAAUUCGUAGAUAUUCGGAAGAACACCAGUGGCGAAGGCGGCUCACUGGCCCGUUACUGACGCUGAGGCACGAAAGCGUGGGGAGCAAACAGG